CACCUGGACUCAUCACGACUCAGGCCUUUUUGUGCGUGCGUGUGUGUGUGUGUGUGUGUGUGUGCGGGAGAACGGAGGUAGGCUGCGUGUGUGCGCGACAGAGAUAGCGUUGGCCUUCGCUAUGAAUACCAAAUGUCUCACUAUUACAAGGAGCGUAGAUCGGAAAGGGGAUGAUUACGCAGGAGUCGUGAAAGGAUCCACGUGGAGGGGGGGUAUCGUGUACAAAACAAAGUCUUGCGGACUGUGUUGCUUGAAUUGAUCUGAGGCAUUCGAUCUGUAAUCUAAUGUGCCAGUAGUGUUGUGCUUAGAUUGUACAUCUCCAAGAAACAGUCACUUAGUCACUGUAUCUCAAACUCGUCCAAUUCACACUUUUUAGAGAAGCUGUACGUUGCUCGGCACAACUGCUGAAACGUACCACGCUGCUGUAUUGUCUGCCGCGUGGGUAAGGAGUGAUGUGUGCUUAAAGCAGUAAAGUGCCCUUCAAAAUGGCGCCGGAGAUCAAUAAGCUGAAGGCUUUGUCAUCAAGUGGUCGCCUCGUAACGGGCCGUUGUGUCAUGGAACCGAUUCCACGGACAUGUGGACGUGUUGGUAUUGUACAUUUUUUUCCCACCAAAAGAUCGGUGAACUUUUUCGGCUUCCCGGUCUGCUCCCCGUUUGUUGGCCCUGACCGAGUCCUUUGCCGCUCUUGAAAGCAGCACAAUCAUGGGUGGAAGUAGAGAGAACUGCAACAUCACCGUUGCAAUGCAAUAGGUCAUCAGUCAUAACUAACAGCCUUUCGCUGGUUGUUUGAGGAAAGCGUGCUUUUUACUUGUGUCGGCGGGUUUUGAACUCCUAUUUUUUGGUAAAUAGUAUCAUCUUUGUUUGGGUACUUUUAAGUUAUUGUGGACACUGCAAAGUGAGCGGAUUGUUAACACGGCUUCCCCUUCUCUCCGUCUCUUAGGAAAAAGCAUUCCUCUGUGUAACCACACUUAGGACCUUUAAAAAGAUUCAUUAAUAUCUGCACACCGGUCCACGUCCGCCUCCCCAUGCAGAACUCCGUGAAAUGAAUAAAGCACCACAGCCUCUAACAGGACCCCCCUCCAACCCCCACCCCGCCCCCUCCCCCGGCCUGUCACAG
This is a long non-coding RNA of Gasterosteus aculeatus aculeatus (three-spined stickleback), 1117 nucleotides long. The record is from Ensembl. NCBI's taxonomy places the organism in Eukaryota, Metazoa, Chordata, Actinopteri, Perciformes, Gasterosteidae.